CCUACGGGCGGCAGCAGUGAGGAAUAUUGGUCAAUGGACGCAAGUCUGAACCAGCCAUGCCGCGUGCAGGAAGACGGCUCUAUGAGUUGUAAACUGCUUUUGUACGAGGGUAAACGCAGAUACGCGUAUCUGUCUGAAAGUAUCGUACGAAUAAGGAUCGGCUAACUCCGUGCCAGCAGCCGCGGUAAUACGGAGGAUUCAAGCGUUAUCCGGAUUUAUUGGGUUUAAAGGGUGCGUAGGCGGUCGGAUAAGUUAGAUGUGAAAUCCCGAGGCUCAACUUCGGAAUUGCCUCUGAUACUGUUCGUCUAGAGAGUAGUUGCGGUAGGCGGAAUGUAUGGUGUAGCGGUGAAAUGCUUAGAGAUCAUACAGAACACCGAUUGCGAAGGCAGCUUACCAAGCUACUUCUGACGUUGAGGCACGAAAGCGUGGGGAGCAAACAGGAUUAGAUACCCGGGUAGUC
RNAcentral lists this ribosomal RNA (460 nucleotides) under uncultured bacterium. RNAcentral describes it as "partial 16S ribosomal RNA". It matches the Rfam family "Bacterial small subunit ribosomal RNA", at positions 338 to 795 of the family's 1533-position model. The record is from RNAcentral.